Molecule: transfer RNA, 18 nt
Filed under: Rubus idaeus (red raspberry)
Lineage: Eukaryota; Viridiplantae; Streptophyta; Magnoliopsida; Rosales; Rosaceae
Also listed under: 20 other names
Description: partial tRNA-Phe
Source: RNAcentral
UGGUCGGGAUAGCUCAGC